RNAcentral lists this long non-coding RNA (573 nucleotides) under Nicotiana benthamiana. RNAcentral describes it as "long non-coding RNA (NBEN_LNC007499)". Lineage: Eukaryota; Viridiplantae; Streptophyta; Magnoliopsida; Solanales; Solanaceae. The record is from RNAcentral.
GAUAAGAAGAAGGAAUCAAAAAUUAGAACAUCCAUUCAGCCUCAAUCAAAAGAAGUUAGAUUACAAAUCAAGGAGCUAUUGCAAGCAAAUAUUCUGAUUUUAAAUUAAGCUCAAUCAAAGGCUUGAUUGCCUCGUAAAUGGAAGCCUGUGACAAGGAAAGUCACGAUCGAAUCCGGCCCUUCCCAAGAGCAAGAUUCGAAAGACACCCCUUGGGUCAAAUCAUUUUAAAGAUCUCGUGCCUCUAUUUUCAGUCAAGACUCGACGGCUCUUUUCUCUCCAAUAAGAAGAUUGCUAAUAUCAAAUGGAAGACUUGCGCAACUACACAUAUUAUUUUCAAAGUCUCUCUACUUCUUACUCUAAACACUAUAAUCCUUUGUUUACAAGUGUCUCAAAAUAUAGGAAGAAUUAGACCACAAAAGAGAGUUGUGUCAUUAUUCAAGAUUUAUUGCUGUAAUACUUCGUUGGUGGUAAAUGAAUCAAAACCAUUUGUACUAUAAUUCUUUCAAGAUCUAAGAUGACCCAAGGAAAACUGGAUAUAAGUAUCACAUCGGUACCAAACCAGUAUAAAAUGGC